Molecule: ribosomal RNA, 433 nt
Filed under: uncultured bacterium
Lineage: Bacteria
Description: partial 16S ribosomal RNA
Rfam family: Bacterial small subunit ribosomal RNA
Source: RNAcentral
AACGAACGCUGGCGGCAUGCCUAACACAUGCAAGUCGAACGAGACCUUCGGGUCUAGUGGCGCACGGGUGCGUAACGCGUGGGAACCUGCCCUUAGGUUCGGAAUAACUCCCCGAAAGGGGUGCUAAUACCGGAUAAUGUCUUCGGACCAAAGAUUUAUCGCCCUUGGAUGGGCCCGCGUUGGAUUAGCUAGUUGGUAGGGUAAAAGCCUACCAAGGCGACGAUCCAUAGCUGGUCUGAGAGGAUGAUCAGCCACACUGGGACUGAGACACGGCCCAGACUCCUACGGGAGGCAGCAGUGGGGAAUAUUGGAAAAUGGGCGAAAGCCUGAUCCAGCAAUGCCGCGUGAGUGAUGAAGGCCUUAGGGUUGUAAAGCUCUUUUACCCGGGAUGAUAAUGACAGUACCGGGAGAAUAAGCUCCGGCUAACUCCGUG